Molecule: ribosomal RNA, 253 nt
Filed under: uncultured bacterium
Lineage: Bacteria
Description: partial 16S ribosomal RNA
Rfam family: Bacterial small subunit ribosomal RNA
Source: RNAcentral
UACGGAGGGAGCUAGCGUUGUUCGGAAUUACUGGGCGCAAAGCGCGCGUAGGCGGCUAUUCAAGUCAGAGGUGAAAGCCUGGAGCUCAACUUCAGAACUGCCUUUGAAACUAGAUAGCUAGAAUCUUGGAGAGGUCAGUGGAAUUCCGAGUGUAGAGGUGAAAUUCGUAGAUAUUCGGAAGAACACCAGUGGCGAAGGCGACUGACUGGACAAGUAUUGACGCUGAGGUGCGAAAGCGUGGGGAGCAAACAGG